Molecule: unclassified non-coding RNA, 1252 nt
Filed under: Hevea brasiliensis (rubber tree)
Lineage: Eukaryota; Viridiplantae; Streptophyta; Magnoliopsida; Malpighiales; Euphorbiaceae
Source: RNAcentral
GCACUUUGCGCUUUAAGCGAUGGGUGAUACACCGCUUUGAGUGCGCCUUACGCUUUUAACUACCUUGAACCUGCAUUAGUAUUCAGGUCAUGCACUCCACCAGAGCUUUAUCUCAGUGCUAUAUGGAGAAUUAUUGCGGUCUGUGAAACAAUGACCACAUACAUACUAAACAUGAACAAUAUCCAAAAUUAAUAGCCAGAUACACUCAAAACAUUUGAUAUUUUGCCGGUUUCAGCACUAGAAAAUGGUUAAUUGCAGGUUAAAAAACCAACAUUUCACUUGAUUAAUAACCGAUUUGCACUAGAUGUACUAAUUAAACCAUCAACCAUUAAUAAAAACAUAAAAUUAAACCCGGUUCUUGCAGCUCUACACUAACCACCCUCUUACCCCCAAACCCAAAAGGGUUUAAAAUAAAAGAAAUAAAAGAAUUUAAGAAAAAAAUCAAUUAGCUUCUAGGCAUAUUUAUGAUCUAUCUAUUCAUAGAUAACAAACAACAGAAAACAAGAUAGAGGUCGCGAAGAAACCUAAAUAAACAUCAAACGUGAAAUAGGAACUAUAGCUAUGAGAAAAUCAAUCGAGAGAGAGGAAAAGGGAUCUACCACACAAGAAAACUAAACCCUAAUCAAGGACUGCUAACAAAAACACAAGGCAAUAUGAGAGAGUAGUGAAUUACUAUACCCAACUCUUCCUUUUGUCGGUUUAAAUUCCAGAUUUGCAACUGCUAGGGUUAUUUGGAUUUUGAACUGAACAUGUAAGACCCCAUUUAAAAUCCCGAUUCUUCGAUAGACAGCUGCGAGAGAAAGCGAUUAAUGUGAUUGUGGCUGGCAGUAUUACCAUAUGACAUGAGUGUUAUUAUGGAAGAAAGUUCAAAUUUACCCUUGAACUUUUUGGGAAGUUGAAAUAAGUCCAUUUUUGAUCCCUUUACCAAAUAAACUCAUACUUUUCUAAUUAAGUUUAAACAAGAAACAGGAAGCAGAAUAAUAUCAUCCACUAUAAUAGCAUUACAACAAGCUAACGCAAAACACCAACUACAGAUUGCUUCAUAUCUAGAUAUAUAGAAAUCCCAGGAAGGUAAUACCCAUGCCUUUUCUGAAAUCGAAUGCGACAGGGAGGUCUUACCUUUUUCCAGGAGAAUCCGCCUGCGAAAUAAGUAAACGGUAUUGAUUAGAUCUCUAAGUUCUCAAUCAAACGCAAAAAGCAAUAACCAUUAACAUGGAACAGAGAGCUAAAGAAAGUGAUGGAGAAUCUCACA